This 260-nucleotide long non-coding RNA is filed under the name Mytilus galloprovincialis (Mediterranean mussel). Lineage: Eukaryota; Metazoa; Mollusca; Bivalvia; Mytilida; Mytilidae. The record is from RNAcentral.
GUUGUAUGUGAGUAAGUCAGAGAGAGAGAGAGAGGAGAGAAAAAUCAAAUACAAUUUAUAUGUAACCUAAAAUAUUUUUAUUGUUAAAAAUUAAUUAGUCAGAGAUUCUUUUUGUAUAUAUUGCUAUAUUUUGUUCUUAUAUAUUCUGUAUUUACCCCUUGAUACCAUUGUCAGGUGGUAGUGUAAUGGGGUGUGUAAAAUCCUGACUAUUGAAAAACAAAUAAAAGAUAAAAAAAAAAAAAAAAAAAAAAAAAAAAAAU